GAAGAUCUGUGUCAGGAGCUAUAGAAGA
This 28-nucleotide small RNA is filed under the name Bombyx mori (domestic silkworm). RNAcentral's name for it is "ovarian small RNA-15227". The record is from RNAcentral. Lineage: Eukaryota; Metazoa; Arthropoda; Insecta; Lepidoptera; Bombycidae.